GCAUAUCAUAAGCGGGAGGGAAAAGAAACCAACAGGGAUUGCCCUAGUAACGGCGAGUGAAGCGGCAACAGCUCAAAUUUGAAAUCUGGCCCCUUUGGGGUCCGAGUUGUAAUUUGCAGAGGGUGCUUUGGCGUUGGCGGCGGUCUAAGUUCCUUGGAACAGGACAUCGCAGAGGGUGAGAAUCCCGUAUGUGGUCGCAUGCCUUCGCCGUGUAAAGCCCCUUCGACGAGUCGAGUUGUUUGGGAAUGCAGCUCUAAAUGGGAGGUAAAUUUCUUCUAAAGCUAAAUACCGGCCAGAGACCGAUAGCGCACAAAGUAGAGUGAUCGAAAGAUGAAAAGCACUUUGGAAAGAGAGUCAAACAGCACGUGAAAUUGUUGAAAGGGAAGCGCUUGCAGCCAGACUUGCCUGUAGUUGCUCACCCGGGCUCCUGCCCGGGGCACUCUUCUGCAGGCAGGCCAGCAUCAGUUUGGGCGGUCGGAUAAAGGGCUCUGACACGUACUUCCCUUCGGGGUUGACAUACAGGGGAGCCGCAAUGCGACCAGCCCGGACUGAGGUCCGCGCAUCUGCUAGGAUGCUGGCGUAAUGGCUGUAAGCGGCCCGUCUUUGAAACACGGACCAAGGAGUCUAACAUCUAUGCGAAGUGUUUGGGUGUCAAGCCCGAGCGCGCAAUGAAAGUGAACGGAGGUGGGAACCCCUCGGGGUGCACCAUCGACCGAUCCUGAUGUCUUCGGAUGGAUUUGAGUAAGAGCAUAGCUGUUGGGACCCGAAAGAUGGUGAACUAUGCUUGAAUAGGGUGAAGCCAGAGGAAAACUCUGGUGGAGGCUCGCAGCGGUUCUGACGUGCAAAUCGAUCGUCAAAUUUGGCAUAGGGCGAAAAGACUAAUCGAACUAUCUAGUAGCUGGUUCCUGCCGGA
This 913-nucleotide ribosomal RNA is filed under the name Periconia circinata. RNAcentral describes it as "LSU rRNA". It matches the Rfam family "Eukaryotic large subunit ribosomal RNA", at positions 38 to 965 of the family's 3401-position model. Lineage: Eukaryota; Fungi; Ascomycota; Dothideomycetes; Pleosporales; Periconiaceae. The record is from RNAcentral.